RNAcentral lists this ribosomal RNA (650 nucleotides) under uncultured bacterium. Its description in RNAcentral is "bacterial SSU rRNA". It matches the Rfam family "Bacterial small subunit ribosomal RNA", at positions 874 to 1526 of the family's 1533-position model. The record is from RNAcentral.
UGGGGAGUACGGUCGCAAGACUGAAACUCAAAGGAAUUGACGGGGGCCCGCACAAGCGGUGGAGCAUGUGGUUCAAUUCGACGCAACGCGAAGAACCUUACCUGGGCUCGAAAUGCAGUGGACCGGGGUGGAAACAUCCCUUUCCGCAAGGACCGCUGUAUAGGUGCCGCAUGGCUGUCGUCAGCUCGUGUCGUGAGAUGUUGGGUUAAGUCCCGCAACGAGCGCAACCCUUAUUGCCAGUUGCCAUCAUUUAGUUGGGCACUCUGGCGAAACCGCCCCGGAUAACGGGGAGGAAGGUGGGGAUGACGUCAAGUCCUCAUGGCCUUUAUGUCCAGGGCUACACACGUGCUACAAUGGUCUAUACAAACCGUCGCAAACCCGCGAGGGGGAGCUAAUCGGAAAAAGUAGGCCUCAGUUCGGAUUGUAGUCUGCAACUCGACUACAUGAAGCUGGAAUCGCUAGUAAUCGCGGAUCAGAACGCCGCGGUGAAUACGUUCCCGGGCCUUGUACACACCGCCCGUCACAUCACGAAAGUGGGCUGUACUAGAAGCAGGUGGGCUAACCGCAAGGGAGCAGCCUUCCAAGGUAUAACUCAUGAUUGGGGUGGAGUCGUAACAAGGUAGCCGUAGGAGAACCUGCGGCUGGAUCAC